CCUACGGGUGGCAGCAGUAGGGAAUAUUGCUCAAUGGGGGAAACCCUGAAGCAGCAACGCCGCGUGGAGGAUGAAGGUUUUCGGAUUGUAAACUCCUUUUGUUAGAGAAGAUAAUGACGGUAUUUCACGACUAAGCACCGGCUAACUCCGUGCUGGCAGCAGCGGUCAUACGGAGGGUGCAAGCGUUACUCGGAUUCACUGGGCGUAAAGGGGGCGUAGGCGGGGAAGCAAGUCAGAUGUGAAAUCCUAUGGCUUAACCAUAGAACUGCAUUUGAAACUGUUAUUCUAGAGUAUGGGAGAGGUAGGUGGAAUUCUUGGUGUAGGGGUAAAAUGCGUAGAGAUCAAGAGGAAUACUCAUGGCGAAGGCGACCUGCUAGAACAUAACUGACGCUGAUGCGCGAAAGCGUGGGGAGCAAACAGGAUUAGAUACCCUUGUAGUC
Molecule: ribosomal RNA, 440 nt
Filed under: uncultured bacterium
Lineage: Bacteria
Description: partial 16S ribosomal RNA
Rfam family: Bacterial small subunit ribosomal RNA
Source: RNAcentral